Molecule: ribosomal RNA, 499 nt
Filed under: uncultured bacterium
Lineage: Bacteria
Description: bacterial SSU rRNA
Rfam family: Bacterial small subunit ribosomal RNA
Source: RNAcentral
AGCGAACGCUAGCGGCGGGCCUAACACAUGCAAGUCGAGCGGGGAGCAAUCCCAGCGGCGAACGGGUGAGUAACACGUAGGUAAUGUGCCUUUUGGUGGGGAAUAACCGUGGGAAACCAUGGCUAAUACCGCAUAUCGUGCUUCGGCAUGAAAGCUUCUGAGGCAACUCGGGGGCGCCAGUUGAGCAGCCUGCGUCCCAUUAUUUAGUCCUAGUUGGUAGGGUAAUGGCCUACCAAGGGUACGAUGGGUAGCUGGUCUGAGAGGAUGAUCAGCCACACUGGAACUGAGACACGGUCCAGACUCCUACGGGAGGCAGCAGUGGGGAAUCUUGCGCAAUGGGCGAAAGCCUGACGCAGCGACGCCGCGUGAGUGAUGGAGGCCUUCGGGUUGGUAAAGCUCUGUGGAGGGGGACGGAAGUAAGGGACUGGGCUAACAUCCAGCUUGAUGACGGUACCUCUUUAGUCGAAGCACCGGCUAACUCUGUGCCAGCAGCCGCGGU